UACGGAGGGUGCAAGCGUUAUCCGGAUUUACUGGGUUUAAAGGGUGCGUAGGUGGGUUGGUAAGUCAGUGGUGAAAUACUUUCGCUUAACGAAGGAACUGCCAUUGAUACUACCAGUCUUGAAUACAGUGGAGGUAGACGGAAUGCGUCAUGUAGCGGUGAAAUGCUUAGAUAUGACGCAGAACACCAAUUGCGAAGGCAGCUUGCUACACUGUUAUUGACACUGAGGCACGAAAGCGUGGGGAUCAAACAGG
Molecule: ribosomal RNA, 253 nt
Filed under: uncultured bacterium
Lineage: Bacteria
Description: partial 16S ribosomal RNA
Rfam family: Bacterial small subunit ribosomal RNA
Source: RNAcentral